GAUCCUGGCUCAGGAUGAACGCUGGCGGCGUGCCUAACACAUGCAAGUCGAGCGAAGCGGUUUUAAGGAAGUUUUCGGAUGGAAUUAAAACUGACUGAGCGGCGGACGGGUGAGUAACGCGUGGGUAACCUGCCUCAUACAGGGGUAUAACAGUUAGAAAUGGCUGCUAAUACCGCAUAAGCACACAGCUUCGCAUGGAGCAGUGUGAAAAACUCUGGUGGUAUGAGAUGGACCCGCG
Molecule: ribosomal RNA, 238 nt
Filed under: uncultured bacterium
Lineage: Bacteria
Description: partial 16S ribosomal RNA
Rfam family: Bacterial small subunit ribosomal RNA
Source: RNAcentral